GAUGAACGCUGGCGGCGUGCCUAAUACAUGCAAGUCGAGCGAACAGACGAGGAGCUUGCUCCUCUGACGUUAGCGGCGGACGGGUGAGUAACACGUGGAUAACCUACCUAUAAGACUGGGAUAACUUCGGGAAACCGGAGCUAAUACCGGAUAAUAUAUUGAACCGCAUGGUUCAAUAGUGAAAGACGGUUUUGCUGUCACUUAUAGAUGGAUCCGCGCCGCAUUAGCUAGUUGGUAAGGUAACGGCUCACCAAGGCGACGAUGCGUAGCCGACCUGAGAGGGUGAUCGGCCACACUGGAACUGAGACACGGUCCAGACUCCUACGGGAGGCAGCAGUAGGGAAUCUUCCGCAAUGGGCGAAAGCUUGACGGAGCAACGCCGCGUGAGUGAUGAAGGUCUUCGGAUCGUAAAACUCUGUUAUUAGGGAAGAACAAAUGUGUAAGUAACUAUGCACGUCUUGACGGUACCUAAUCAGAAAGCCACGGCUAACUACGUG
This 497-nucleotide ribosomal RNA is filed under the name uncultured bacterium. RNAcentral's name for it is "partial 16S ribosomal RNA". It matches the Rfam family "Bacterial small subunit ribosomal RNA", at positions 28 to 507 of the family's 1533-position model. The record is from RNAcentral.